CCUACGGGGGGCAGCAGUGGGGAAUAUUGCACACUGGGGGAAACCCUGAUGCAGCGACGCCGCGUGGGUGAAGAAGUAUUUCGGUAUGUAAAGCCCUAUCAGCAGGGAAGAAACAUGACGGUACCUGACUAAGAAGCACCGGCUAAAUACGUGCCAGCAGCGACGGUAAUACGUAUGGUGCAAGCGUUAUCCGGAUUUACUGGGUGUAAAGGGAGCGCAGGCGGCACGCUAAGCCUGCUUGGAAAACCCGGGGCCGAACCGCGGGAGUGAAUUGGGAACUGGCGAGCUGGAGUACCGGAGGGGCAGGCGGAAUGCCUAGUGUAGCGGUGAAAUGCGUAGAUAUUAGGAGGAACACCAGUGGCGAAGGCGGCCUGCUGGACGGAGACUGACGCUGAGGCUCGAAAGCGUGGGGAGCAAACAGGAUUAGAUACCCGAGUAGUC
Molecule: ribosomal RNA, 441 nt
Filed under: uncultured bacterium
Lineage: Bacteria
Description: partial 16S ribosomal RNA
Rfam family: Bacterial small subunit ribosomal RNA
Source: RNAcentral